RNAcentral lists this ribosomal RNA (301 nucleotides) under uncultured bacterium. RNAcentral's name for it is "partial 16S ribosomal RNA". It matches the Rfam family "Bacterial small subunit ribosomal RNA", at positions 509 to 807 of the family's 1533-position model. The record is from RNAcentral.
CAGUAGCCGCGGUAAUACGUAGGGUGCGAGCGUUAAUCGGAAUUACUGGGCGUAAAGCGUGCGCAGGCGGUUCGUUAAGACAGAUGUGAAAUCCCCGGGCUUAACCUGGGAACUGCAUUUGUGACUGACGGGCUAGAGUAUGGCAGAGGGGGGUAGAAUUCCACGUGUAGCAGUGAAAUGCGUAGAGAUGUGGAGGAAUACCGAUGGCGAAGGCAGCCCCCUGGGCCAAUACUGACGCUCAUGCACGAAAGCGUGGGGAGCAAACAGGAUUAGAUACCCGAGUAGUCCCUGUCUCUUAUAC